AUUACAAAAGUGGUAGUAACUAAUUAAUUUUACAAUCAAGUGCAAUUGCUGUUAAUCAUAUAGAGGUCGUAGUUAUUUUAGGCAAAACUAAAUUAAUUUUUAAUUUGCAAAUUAAAUGGUUUACUACCAUUUAGUAAAAGGAAUCGAUUACACAUAAAAAAUUACAAAAUUAACUUAUUAAAAAUAUCAAUUAAUACCCCAAAUUACCACGUUAUUUAUCUGUCUGUACAAGCACAUGAGUUUUUAUUUGGCUGUCACAUUUGCAAUAGCCGAAACAGUGGCGGCGCCAAGGGGGGGGGG
This is a non-coding RNA of Paramuricea clavata, 300 nucleotides long. The record is from the annotation of a GenBank genome assembly. NCBI's taxonomy places the organism in Eukaryota, Metazoa, Cnidaria, Anthozoa, Malacalcyonacea, Plexauridae.